Long non-coding RNA from Thalassophryne amazonica, 292 nucleotides. RefSeq lists it as uncharacterized. The record is from RefSeq and is a predicted model, not a curated record. Lineage: Eukaryota; Metazoa; Chordata; Actinopteri; Batrachoidiformes; Batrachoididae. The transcript has 2 exons.
UCCACUGGAGAAAACUGUGUGUGUGUAUAUUAGGCCUGAGCGAUUAUGUGAUCGUGAUCAAUGAUCGUGAUAAAUUUCAGGUCGAUUACGAUGAUCAGCUCUGAGCUUAUUUCUCGAUUACACGUGCACAUUGUUGCAAUACACAUAUAAUACAGUUGGUGGCGCCAAUGCAACACUACAGAUGCAAACCACCAUCAUACUCGAUGAAGAAGAAGCACGUGGUCACAUGCGUGACAACAGCCAAUCAGAGACGACCUUUUACUUCUUCGCUUCUGUUUCGCGUUCUAAACAG